Molecule: long non-coding RNA, 2149 nt
Organism: Oncorhynchus tshawytscha (Chinook salmon)
Lineage: Eukaryota; Metazoa; Chordata; Actinopteri; Salmoniformes; Salmonidae
Source: Ensembl
GAUCACUUUGCGUUUGUAGGGUCCAUUCUGUUUGUCCUUAGCCGUGCACUCUAGCUAGCUAGGAAGUUUGAUGUCAUCAAAUUUCACAUGAUGUAUAGCGACGUCCAAACAUCAAAACAUUGCUAGCAAAUUGUAAAAAAAAAAUGGAUAGUAACAAUAUAAUUCCAUUAAAUAACGACAGUAGACGCUGUAUUUUCUUUAAUACAGAUUCUGACGACUAUCGAUGUGUGGUGAUUCUCACAGUGAAGCGAGCCACAGGCACCUUCUCACUGAUAGGAUGCUUUUUCAUGCUGUUUGUAAUCUGGCUUCUCCGCCGGUAUCACUCCUUGGCCCAGGUCACCAGGCUGCUCAUUUUGGAGCGCACCUGUCACCAUCGUUACGUGGACCUGUGCGUCAUCAGUCUCACCUGGACUCCAUCACUUCCCUGAUUACCUUCCCUAUACAGUUGAAGUCGGAAGUUUACGUACACUUAGGUUGGAGUCAUUAAAACUUGUUUUUCAACCACUCCACAAAUUUCUUGUUAACAAACUAUAGUUUUGGCAAGUCUGUUGUGUCAUGCACAAAGUAGAUGUCAUAAGUAAUUUUUCCAACAAUUGUUUACAGACACAUUAUUUCACUUAUUCACUGUAUCACAAUUUCAGUGGGUCAGAAGUUUACAUUCACAAAGUUGACUGUGCCUUUAAACAGCUUGGAAAAUUCCAGAAAAUGAUGUCAUGGCUUUAGAAGCUUCUGAUAGGCUAAUUGACAUCAUUUGAGUCAAUUGGAGGUGUACCUGUGGAUGGAUUUCAAGGCCUACCUUCAAACUCAGUGCCUCUUUGCUUGACAUCAUGGGAAAAUAAAAGAAAUCAGCCAAGACCUCAGAAAAAUAAUUGUAGACCUCCACAAGUCUGGUUCAUCCUUUGGAGCAAUUUCCAAACGCCUGAUCGUACCACGUUCAUCUGUACAAACAAUAGUACGCAACUAUAAACACCAUGGGACCACACAGCCGUCAUACUGCUCAGGAAGGAGACACGUUCUGUCUCCUAGAGAUGAACGUACUUUGGUGCGACAAGUGCAAAUCAAUCCCAGAACAACAGCAAAGGACCUUAUGAAGAUGCUGGAGGAAACGGGUACAAAAGUAUCUACAUCCACAGUAAAACGAGUCCUAUAUCGACAUAACCUGAAAGGCCGCUCAGCAAGGAAGAAGCCACUGCUCCAAAACAUCCAUUAAAAAGCCAGACUACCAACAAAAGCCAACUCACCCAAUUUAUUGUGGGAAGCUUGUGGAAGGCUACCUGAAACAUUUGACCCAAGUUAAACAAUUUAAAGGCAUUGCUACCAAAUACUAAUUGAGUGUAUGUCAACUUCUGACCCACUGGGUAUGUGAUGAAAGAAAUAAAAGCUGAAAUAAAUCAUUCUAUCUGCUAUUAUUCUGACAUUUCACAUUCUUAAAAUAAAAUGGUGAUCCUAACUGACCUAAGACAGGGCAUUUUUACUAGGAUUAAAUGUCAGGAAUUGUGACAAAACUGAGUUUAAAUGUAUUUAGAUAAGGUGUAUGUAAACCUCCGACUUCAACUGUACAUGUCACUCCCUUUGAUUCCUUCCCCAGGUGUUAUUGUUUCACUUAUGUUUGUGCAUUGUUCGUGUUUCUUGUUUUGAAUUAUGUUGCGUUUAUUUAUUAAAACAACUACUUCCUGAACUUGCUUCCCGACUUUCAGCGCACAUUUUUACACUACUGACCAGCAGCAGCAUCAGUGCUUGGAGAAGCAUAAUUACCGUGACUAAGCUGUCAUUUGGAAGUUGACUGCCUUCAUGACUCGUAAUGACCGGUGUGGUGGUAAUACGGUCACCGCAACAGCCCUAUGUAUGUGCCAGGGUUUCCGUUAACCAGUGGGCCAGCUUUUGGCCCAUAAAAAAUUGAAACGCUAAUAAAUAACAUUUGCACCGGCCACUUGUUUGUGAGAAGUAGAAAAAACAUCUCAUUGCGAAUAAUGCUUUUUAGCCUAUUCAUUGAUGGAAAUACCUGUAGAUGUAAAUACAUUUGACUGGUCAUACUUAUCGGUCUAUAGAUUCAUUUGCAUAAUUUAUUGGAAUUAAAUUAGCGCGUGUGUCACAGUAUAUUCGUUAUGUGUCUUAUUUAUCACACGAAUACAGCGUACGGAUACAGAGC